This 677-nucleotide ribosomal RNA is filed under the name uncultured Dehalococcoides sp. RNAcentral describes it as "bacterial SSU rRNA". It matches the Rfam family "Bacterial small subunit ribosomal RNA", at positions 62 to 763 of the family's 1533-position model. Lineage: Bacteria; Bacillati; Chloroflexota; Dehalococcoidia; Dehalococcoidales; Dehalococcoidaceae. The record is from RNAcentral.
UCGAACGGUCUUAAGCAAUUAAGAUAGUGGCGAACGGGUGAGUAACGCGUAAGUAACCUACCUCUAAGUGGGGGAUAGCUUCGGGAAACUGAAGGUAAUACCGCAUGUGGUGGGCCGACAUAUGUUGGUUCACUAAAGCCGUAAGGCGCUUGGUGAGGGGCUUGCGUCCGAUUAGCUAGUUGGUGGGGUAAUGGCCUACCAAGGCUUCGAUCGGUAGCUGGUCUGAGAGGAUGAUCAGCCACACUGGGACUGAGACACGGCCCAGACUCCUACGGGAGGCAGCAGCAAGGAAUCUUGGGCAAUGGGCGAAAGCCUGACCCAGCAACGCCGCGUGAGGGAUGAAGGCUUUCGGGUUGUAAACCUCUUUUCAUAGGGAAGAAUAAUGACGGUACCUGUGGAAUAAGCUUCGGCUAACUACGUGCCAGCAGCCGCGGUAAUACGUAGGAAGCAAGCGUUAUCCGGAUUUAUUGGGCGUAAAGUGAGCGUAGGUGGUCUUUCAAGUUGGAUGUGAAAUUUCCCGGCUUAACCGGGACGAGUCAUUCAAUACUGUUGGACUAGAGUACAGCAGGAGAAAACGGAAUUCCCGGUGUAGUGGUAAAAUGCGUAGAUAUCGGGAGGAACACCAGAGGCGAAGGCGGUUUUCUAGGUUGUCACUGACACUGAGGCUCGAAAGCGUG